Molecule: long non-coding RNA, 718 nt
Filed under: Ananas comosus (pineapple)
Lineage: Eukaryota; Viridiplantae; Streptophyta; Magnoliopsida; Poales; Bromeliaceae
Description: long non-coding RNA (ACOM_LNC024947)
Source: RNAcentral
AAACUUCAAAAACCCCCCCUGUGUUUCAUGCAUUCUCACUUUCCUACCCUGUGGUUUAAAACGUAUCAAUUUGCUCCCAUGUGGUUUCAUUUUUCUCUUUUUGUUAUCAAUUUUAUUAUUAUUUUUUCUUAAAUCAGUAACAAAAUUAAAAUUAAAGGAUACUAAAGUGAAUAUUCGAUAAACAUAGAUGGUUAUCUAAAGUUUUUUGUAUAUAAUUUAACGAAAUAUUAACGAAAAAGCUUCUGAAAAGAUAAAAACGAAACCACAGGGGGCAAAUUGAUACGUUUUAAACCACAGGGUACUAAAGUGAGAAUGCAUGAAACCACAGGGGAGUUUUUUGAAGUUUUUCCUUUAUUAUAUAAUAAUAAUUAAAUUAAUAUUAAUCAGGAUAUUAGAUUUGUUAUAUUGUCAUUAGAUUAAAUUAAUACGUCGUGAUUACAUUUAUCAAAUUUUAAUUUGGGAAAACUUCAUAAACCCCUCAUGUGGUUUCGCAUUUUCUCACUUUGCACCACUGUGAUUUAAAUGUAUCAAUUUGCCUCUCUGUAGUUUCUUUUUUCUCUUUUUCUUAUCAAUUUUAUUAUUAUUUUUUUAAUCAAUAAUAAAGUUAAAAAUAAAGGAUACUAAAGUAAAUAUUUAAUAAAUCUAGAUGAAUAUUUAAAAUUUUUUAUCAUUUUAAACCACAUGGGGGGUAAUGUGAGAAACAAUGAAACUACAGGGG